ACAACACCAGUCCCUAUGACAGAGAUCCUGACUGUGCUGCUAGAGUCUGCCUGCUGCUCGUCUCUGACUUCAGUUGACUGGAUGGGGACUGGAGGGCACAACUAGCUAGCUAACGUUACACUCUAAGGUGAAAGUGGCAGCAAUGGACCGACCAGGUUUUGGUGGGGCUCCAUCAUUCAAUAACCUCUCCACAAGGAUAACAGAUAAUGGAUGCUCAGCCUCAGAUCUAACCGAGGAGGACUUAGAGAGUCUACGAAUUGAACUUGCAAAGAUGGAGGAUGAAAUUCAGACCUUGCGGCAGGUGCUUCUGGUCAAAGAAAAAUAUGCUUCGGACAUCAGGAGGCAGCUGGGUAUGAGUCCUCUCAGUAACAUCAAACAGAACCUGUCCAAAGGCUGGCAAGACAUCCAGACCUCGGGCCCAUACCUCACAGCCUCUGCCACUUUGGAGGACAUCAGCCACUCCAGCGUAUAUGUCAGGACACGGGAGAGUCUCUCUCAUGCAGGCCAGGUGACGUCCUCUGCACUGUCCAAUAUGGGCGUGGCCCUCACCAGGAGACUGGCAGAGAUGAGCCGAGCUCUGCCUCUCCCGAGCCCACCACGCACCCUGAGCCACACCAUGAGUGUGCCGGCUAUGAGGUAAAACACAACAUUCCUCUACAUUCAAGUCUUUGGAGGAAAUGGUCGGCAACGUGAAGGACAAGGUGACUGGCAAUCUGUCAAGUAAUGGAGACACCUCUGGGUUUGAAAGAAGAUCCUCAGGCCACAGCACAUGAGAUGGACCCUUUGAACAUAUCACAAUUAAUUAUUUUUCAUACCUUGUAAAGUUAUGAAAGAAUGUUAUAUUGCUCCUGUGUGUGCAUCUGUCCACUGUUAUUUCUAACUGCUGUAUUAAAACAAUAUGACUAAUAGAAUGUAUAAAAUUUGCAAUAGAAUAUUAUUUCAAACUUCAAUUUAAAAAAAGUAUUUUAAUUUUUAAAUGUUAUAUUUCUGCAUGUUGGAUACAUGUAAUUUUAUUUGAAUGUGAAACCCAUUGACAAAUGUACAAAACAGAAUAUCACUAACAUUAAGUAUUUUUGUACUAAUGCUAUGUUAUCUCUUGUCAUUGAUGGUUACAUACCUUUAUUUACUCAGAUUUGUGUUCUUAAUUAAAUUUCCUACUGUUCUCAGAGAAAA
RNA transcript from Micropterus salmoides (largemouth bass), 1173 nucleotides. It is a transcript of the gene named tumor protein D54-like, with no coding region annotated. Lineage: Eukaryota; Metazoa; Chordata; Actinopteri; Centrarchiformes; Centrarchidae. The record is from RefSeq and is a predicted model, not a curated record. The transcript has 10 exons.